GCUUUCCUGUGGCUCAGUUGGUAGAGCCUUACGCGAACAGCGCAAAGAUCAUGGGUUCAUAUCCCAGGGAAAGCA
Danionella cerebrum is the source of this 75-nucleotide non-coding RNA. Lineage: Eukaryota; Metazoa; Chordata; Actinopteri; Cypriniformes; Danionidae. The record is from the annotation of a GenBank genome assembly.